RNAcentral lists this ribosomal RNA (1152 nucleotides) under Actinomycetota bacterium. RNAcentral's name for it is "bacterial SSU rRNA". It matches the Rfam family "Bacterial small subunit ribosomal RNA", at positions 39 to 1208 of the family's 1533-position model. The record is from RNAcentral. Lineage: Bacteria; Bacillati; Actinomycetota.
GCNGGNGAGUGCUACCAUGCAGUCGACGGUGAACACGGAGCUUGCUCUGUGGGAUCAGUGGCGAACGGGUGAGUAACACGUGAGCAACCUGCCCCUGACUCUGGGAUAAGCGCUGGAAACGGCGUCUAAUACUGGAUAUGUGACGUGACCGCAUGGUCUGCGUCUGGAAAGAAUUUCGGUUGGGGAUGGGCUCGCGGCCUAUCAGCUUGUUGGUGAGGUAAUGGCUCACCAAGGCGUCGACGGGUAGCCGGCCUGAGAGGGUGACCGGCCACACUGGGACUGAGACACGGCCCAGACUCCUACGGGAGGCAGCAGUGGGGAAUAUUGCACAAUGGGCGCAAGCCUGAUGCAGCAACGCCGCGUGAGGGACGACGGCCUUCGGGUUGUAAACCUCUUUUAGCAGGGAAGAAGCGAAAGUGACGGUACCUGCAGAAAAAGCGCCGGCUAACUACGUGCCAGCAGCCGCGGUAAUACGUAGGGCGCAAGCGUUAUCCGGAAUUAUUGGGCGUAAAGAGCUCGUAGGCGGUUUGUCGCGUCUGCUGUGAAAUCCGGAGGCUCAACCUCCGGCCUGCAGUGGGUACGGGCAGACUAGAGUGCGGUAGGGGAGAUUGGAAUUCCUGGUGUAGCGGUGGAAUGCGCAGAUAUCAGGAGGAACACCGAUGGCGAAGGCAGAUCUCUGGGCCGUAACUGACGCUGAGGAGCGAAAGGGUGGGGAGCAAACAGGCUUAGAUACCCUGGUAGUCCACCCCGUAAACGUUGGGAACUAGUUGUGGGGUCCAUUCCACGGAUUCCGUGACGCAGCUAACGCAUUAAGUUCCCCGCCUGGGGAGUACGGCCGCAAGGCUAAAACUCAAAGGAAUUGACGGGGACCCGCACAAGCGGCGGAGCAUGCGGAUUAAUUCGAUGCAACGCGAAGAACCUUACCAAGGCUUGACAUAUACGAGAACGGGCCAGAAAUGGUCAACUCUUUGGACACUCGUAAACAGGUGGUGCAUGGUUGUCGUCAGCUCGUGUCGUGAGAUGUUGGGUUAAGUCCCGCACGAGCGCAACCCUCCGUUCUAUGUGCCAGCACGUAUGUGGGACUCAUGGGAUACUGCGGGGUCAACUCGGAGGAAGGGGGAUGACGUCCAAUCCAUCAUGCCCCUAAGUGCC